Cricetulus griseus (Chinese hamster) is the source of this 149-nucleotide small nuclear RNA. Its record names the gene U4. It matches the Rfam family "U4 spliceosomal RNA". From Rfam's summary of the family: U4 small nuclear RNA (U4 snRNA) is a component of the major U2-dependent spliceosome. The structure of U4 snRNA from yeast and human has been reported. U4 snRNA presents a k-turn RNA motif in the 5p-SL related to recognition of Snu13 protein. NCBI's taxonomy places the organism in Eukaryota, Metazoa, Chordata, Mammalia, Rodentia, Cricetidae. The record is from Ensembl.
AGCUUUGCAGAGAGGCCACAUUGUAGUCAGUGAGGUUUAUCUGAGGCACAUACGAUUAUAGCUAAUUGAAAACUUUUCCCAAUACCAAGCCACGAGGACUUGAAAUACAGUUGGCAUUGGCAACUCCUAUGGCAAUUUCUCUAUGGAGA